AUGACGGGGAUACGAGCUCAGAGGAUGAGUGGGACAUCACAAGAGACCCCUGACACCACCGUGGAGCCUCUUUUCUGUGGCCAGCUGGAGCUUUCUGAACCCACCUGCAUGAUGCACCACAUGAGGCCAAUUAAGUGUGUGGCAUUUGAAGGAACCUUAACUGGAAGGCGUUUCUAUGGUUGUCCAGUGCCGCAGAGUGAAGGUGUUAACUGUGGUGUUACCGAGUGGGUUGACAAGCCCUGGCAUCCAAUUCUUCAGAAUUGCUUGUCCAGGCUAUGGGACAUGUACCAUGAACAGAAUUGUGGCAGGGUAGUUGAUAAGCAGAAGUAUGAGAAGCAUUUUUCCAAGCUUAAGACUGAAAAUGACAAGCUGUGCAUUGAGUACACAAAGCUUGUCCAAGAUGUAUCCAAGAUGUUUGAUUGGCAGGAUGGUAGGGUAGACCACAUGGAUUACCAGAAGGCAGUUGAGGAGGAAGAAUUUGAGAAGAAGAAGAAAGAGGUAGAAGAGAGUGCUAGGUUGGAGGUUCAGAUGGAGAAGCUCAAACUUGCCAAGGAACAAAGGUGCAUUUUACAGAGUCAAGCUGACAUUAUCAAGAAUACCAGGAAGGCAAUGAAGGAGGUUGAACAGGAAAGAGAUUUGCUUAAGAUAGAGAAGGCCAAGCUUGAGCAUGUGGUGAAUGAGUUGCUGAAUGAUGGGCAUGCAAGCAAGGAGAAACUUGAGAAAAUCAAGGCCAUCCUUGAUUCAUGA
RNAcentral lists this ribosomal RNA (747 nucleotides) under Triticum aestivum (bread wheat). Its description in RNAcentral is "partial small subunit ribosomal RNA". Lineage: Eukaryota; Viridiplantae; Streptophyta; Magnoliopsida; Poales; Poaceae. The record is from RNAcentral.